ACCUACGCCCAUGCCACUCUGAACGCACCCGAUUUGUCUGACCUCGGAAGCUGAGCAGGGUCAGGCCCGGUUAGUACUUGGGUGGGAGAACAAUAGAACCCUACUCAGCAGUAAAAA
This 117-nucleotide ribosomal RNA is filed under the name Mustela putorius furo (domestic ferret). The record is from RNAcentral. Lineage: Eukaryota; Metazoa; Chordata; Mammalia; Carnivora; Mustelidae.